CUUUAACAAAGACACAUGGACUCUAAGCUGAAUGAAGAGGGAGUGAGGGGCGGUGCUGACAUCGGGAAGACAAUAGAUAGGGUCAGUCAACCUAACUGGAAGCCCUGGUGGCACUGAAGAUCCUUGAAGGGAAGGUCCUAGAAGAAGCAAGAUGGAAUGAUGGGAGGUGGUUGUCAGAGAGGGACAUGCUUGGAAUUGAAACGUGAGUGAAAGUACAGAUGGUAGUAAUGACAAAGUUUACUGGAUGCAUGAUUGGGGGGACAUGGAGGAUACACUCAUUGAAAAAGGGUGGGGAAAAAUCUGUGACAAACACAGAGUGAAUAAUGGGAAAAUACAUAGCAAAAUAGAAUUAUAAAUAAAUAUACUUUUUUCUUGGUGUGUUUUUGUAUUUCCCAAAUAUUCCAUAAUGAACAUACAUUACUAUGUAAUCAGAAAAAAGUUAUCAAAUAAAAUUCCCUUAUUUAUUAGUAAGUCCAUUUCUACUAUUUACCAGUACUCAGCUCAAAAUCUCACAAAGUUAUUUCCAUUCUAGAAUUUCACCAGUAUUUCCCAGGCAUUUUACAGAAUCACUUAAAAUGAGACCUACUGAGACAUGUAAGUUUCACAGCAUAUGUUCUUUCUUCCAAGAAAUACCUGUCUGAAAUAUGUAUGCAGAAGUGGGGAGGACUGGGUAUACAGUGGACAGAACUGGGGGCAAAACUCUUCUUGAACACCUUUAAUUUUCUUAUCUUCAAACCAUACAAAUAUCUUUAUAAAAAUAUUACCUACUCAAAAUUACUUAAAAAGUAAAAAUUAGUACAAUUUAAAAUUUUUAAUUUAAAAAUCUUUUCAUAAAAAUUCAGAUUUGCAAAAGUUAUGUUAGGAAAUAAACAGUUGUUUGCAUUGCCAAAUAAGUAAAUCUUUAAACACAGAAUUUCCUCUAGUGCUUUUUAAAAGGGAUUUCAUUUUUUUUCUAAUGUAUUAAGAGUUCCAUUUUUUUUUGGCCAGGCACGGUGGCUCACGCUUGUAAUCCCAGCACUUUGGAAGGCCAAGGCGGGCGGAUCACGAGGUCAGGAGAUUGAGACCAUCCUGGCUAACAUGGUGAAACCCUGUCUCUACUAAAAAUAUAAAAAAUUAGCUGGGCGUGGUAGCGGGCGCCCAUAGUCCCAGCUACUCGGGAGGCUGAGGCAGGAGAAUGGCAUGAACCUGGGAGGCAGAGCUUGCAGUGAGCCAAGAUCGAGCCACUGCACUCCAGCCUGGGCAACAUAGCAAGACUCCGUCUCAAAAAAAAAAAAAAAGAAAAGAGUUCCAUUUUUAAAAAACACCUGCCUGUAGCCCCAGCUGCCACUCAGGAGGUUCAGGUGGGAGGAUCAGUUGAGCACAGGAGGCAGAGGCUGCAGUUAGCCAAGAUGAUAUCACUGUACUCCAGCCUGGGUGACACAGUGAGACUCUGUCUCAAACAAAACAAAACUAAACUAAAUUUAAAAAUUUGGUUCCUAUUCAAAAUUCAAAGAUACAAAUGUGUUGUUACAUUCUUAUCACAUCCUUAAGAGCAAACUGCAGACUUCCAACAAAACUGAAACCCUAACAGAAAAAAGUUAAAAGAUUUGUCACAUACAACGCAAAUCUCACCAGAGGACAGUUACAGUUGUUUGGUAUGGCUCCGGAGUUUAGAAUGAAAAUGAGUGGUUUUAAAUAGUUUCUAAGAAGGCAGAAACAGAGAACAGAGAAGAGAACACUUAAAGCUGUCCAAAAGUGAAACCAGGUGGCUUGGAGGGACAGGGCAGCAAAUCCAGAGAUACAAAGAAUUGCAAAUCCUCCAGAAAUGGCUUCGAGGCUUCAGUAAGUCACUUAGCACUUUGAGGGCUGGACUGCAGGGUCAUUGGGGUCCUUUCAAGCUCCCAAAUCCAUCCCCCACUUGUGGUGAGUUCCCUCUGCUAGAAGGGUUCAGCAGAGGUGAGGGACGGUGGAGGAGGAGUCUGUUACAGAAUGAGAGGUUGGAGUGAAGCAAGCUUCAAACAGAUUAACCACUGGCACCUGAAGACCUCCAGCUACAGACGCCCAUCCACACUACAUUAAAAGGUCCAAGAUAAAGUUCAUCCCUUUCUGUAGGCAGGCCCCAGAACAUGAGCUGUCAUUGUGUGGCAGUACUCAAAUAUGAAGCAGUCGCCCCAAAGAGCCAGGACACACCUCUGUGAAGUUUUAAAGAUUAUCACCAAAAAGAAUUAAAGCACUUAAAAAUGAAGGUGGAGAGCUCAGAGUCUCUGAGAACAAAUUUACAAACACCUAAGGGCCCAAGAAUUCCAGGUUGAGAACAAAUUGACCAGAUCACUCAGAAAGCAUCAGAUCUGGAAGGUUCUGUGAAUCAUGUAUGGCACAAAAAUUACCUGUAUGAGGUAAACUUCUAGUUUAGUUUACCUCCGUGGAGAUUUGAUCAUUAUUGAUUAAGGGUUGCUAUUUGGCAACCUUAACCAUUGUGUUAUACCAGUCACUGGGUCGGUACCACAGCGUACCAGAUGCUUAUAUGUUUUACACCGCCUGGGCAUAGGUGGAAUAGAAUGCCUUGCUAAGGGUAAGCCCCAUGAUAUCCAACCUGCCCAACACCAUUGUGAAUCCCUGAAGCAGAGGCCAGUAGGUGCUAUGACUCUAAUAAAAAUAAACACCAGUAGUUAAAUAACUGUCACAUUUGUAAUAACAAUUUAUCAAAUGUCUUCAUGUCUUUAAUUUUGUUUGGCAGUAUCCAAACUUUUAUGAAAGAAAGAAUGAAUGAGGCCAGACACAAUGGUUCAUUCCAUUGGGAGGCCAAAGUGGGCAGAUCACUUGAGGUCAGGAGUUCGAGACCAGCCUGGCCAAAAUGGCAAAACCCUGUUUCUACUAGAAAUAUGAAAAUUAGCCAGGCAUGGUGGUGCACACCUGUAAUCCCAGCUACUCAGGAGGCGGAGGCAGGAGAAUCGCUUGAACCCAGGAGACGAAGGUUGCAGUAAGCCAAGAUCACACCACUACACUCUAGCCUGGGUGAGAGAGCGAGACUUUGUCAAAAAAAAAAAAAAAAGAAUGAAUAAAAGAGAGGAAGGGGAAAGAGAGAAACAUUUAAUUACAGCUCUUGUAGGUGAGUACAACUAGGCAAAAUAUACAUGAACCUCACUCAAUCUACCUAUUCCCCUCAUAAACAUCUUGGCAUACAAUGACUAUCACCACUGUCAAAUAGCUGUGAUCAAAUCACCUGUUAUUCCUGAACUCAAAAUUCACGCAGACAUGCACACACAAAUACAGACAAGCAUAAUGUUUCACGAAAUCUUGGAGGGCACACUCUACCAACUGUGUACCCCUCCUACGGAGGAGGAAUGAGCCAAGGAUGACUAUGUUCUGAUGUCUGGGUAGAUCCACGACUCACAGCUGUAAACGUCCAGGGACCUCCGAAGUGCUUGCUGAAGGCCCCUAAAAACAACGUUUCCUGAUUCUAGAAUUUAACCUUGCACAAGCACUAAGUUCUAGCAAAACAGAAAUAUGAAAUACACCAGAGGCCCAAAACUUAAACAUCAAACCCCAAAUGCUCCUGAUGAAGGAGGUUUCACUCGCGUCCUUGUGAAGAGACAACCAAACAGGCUUUGUGUGAGCAAUAAAGCUUUUUAAUCACCUGGGUGCAGGUGGGCUGAGUCCGAAAAGAAAGUCAG
This 3653-nucleotide long non-coding RNA is filed under the name Homo sapiens (human). Its description in RNAcentral is "HSALNT0045851". The record is from RNAcentral. Lineage: Eukaryota; Metazoa; Chordata; Mammalia; Primates; Hominidae.